GACGAACGCUGGCGGCGUGCUUAACACAUGCAAGUCGAACGGGGUGGCGAAAGGGUGAGUAACACGGGGGGGAUUUGCCUUGCACUUCGGGAUAAACUGGGGAAACUGGGCCUAAUACGGGUAAGUGCAUGAUGAGCCAGCGGCCUAUCAGCUGGUUGGGGGGGUAAUGGCCUACAAAGGCGUCGACGGGUCGCAGGCCUGAGAGGGUGUACGGCCACAUUGGGACUGAGAUACGGCCCAGACUCCUACGGGAGGCAGCAGUGGGGAAUCUUGCACAAUGGGCGGAAGCCUGAUGCAGCGACGCCGCGUGGGGGAUGAAGGCCUUCGGGUUGUAAACUCCUUUCGACAGGGACGCGGUACCUGUAUAAGAAGCACCGGCUAACUACGUGCCAGCAGCCGCGGUAAUUC
This 408-nucleotide ribosomal RNA is filed under the name uncultured bacterium. RNAcentral's name for it is "partial 16S ribosomal RNA". It matches the Rfam family "Bacterial small subunit ribosomal RNA", at positions 28 to 526 of the family's 1533-position model. The record is from RNAcentral.